This 210-nucleotide ribosomal RNA is filed under the name uncultured bacterium. Its description in RNAcentral is "partial 16S ribosomal RNA". It matches the Rfam family "Bacterial small subunit ribosomal RNA", at positions 524 to 732 of the family's 1533-position model. The record is from RNAcentral.
CACGUAGGGUGCGAGCGUUGUCCGGAAUUAUUGGGCGUAAAGAGCUCGUAGGCGGUGUGUCGCGUCGGCCGUGAAAACCUGCAGCUUAACUGUGGGCUUGCGGUCGAUACGGGCAUCACUGGAGUUCGGCAGGGGAGACUGGAAUUCCUGGUGUAGCGGUGAAAUGCGCAGAUAUCAGGAGGAACACCGGUGGCGAAGGCGGGUCUCUGG